UACGUAGGGGGCGAGCGUUACCCGGAUUUACUGGGCGUAAAGCGCGUGUAGGCGGCUGGCCAAGCGUGGUGUGAAAUCUUCGGGCUUAACCCGAAAACUGCAUUGCGAACUGGUCUGGCUAGAGUGUGUGAGAGGGUAGUGGAAUUCCCGGUGUAGCGGUGAAAUGCGUAGAUAUCUGGAGGAACACCGGUGGCGAAGGCGGCAUCCUGGACCGACACUGACGCUGAGAAGCGAAAGCCAGGGGAGCAAACGGG
This 254-nucleotide ribosomal RNA is filed under the name uncultured bacterium. RNAcentral describes it as "partial 16S ribosomal RNA". It matches the Rfam family "Bacterial small subunit ribosomal RNA", at positions 524 to 776 of the family's 1533-position model. The record is from RNAcentral.